Molecule: non-coding RNA, 73 nt
Organism: Rhamnusium bicolor
Lineage: Eukaryota; Metazoa; Arthropoda; Insecta; Coleoptera; Cerambycidae
Source: the annotation of a GenBank genome assembly
GCUUCGUGAUCGAGUGGUAAGAACAUUUGCCUCUCAUCCUGGAGUCCUGGGUUCGAUCCCCGGUAGAGGAGCA